This 468-nucleotide ribosomal RNA is filed under the name uncultured bacterium. RNAcentral describes it as "partial 16S ribosomal RNA". It matches the Rfam family "Bacterial small subunit ribosomal RNA", at positions 28 to 507 of the family's 1533-position model. The record is from RNAcentral.
GACGAACGCUGGCGGCGUGCUUAACACAUGCAAGUCGAACGGAAAGGCCCUGCUUUUGUGGGGUGCUCGAGUGGCGAACGGGUGAGUAACACGUGAGUAACCUGCCCUUGACUUUGGGAUAACUUCAGGAAACUGGGGCUAAUACCGGAUAGGAGCUCCUGCUGCAUGGUGGGGGUUGGAAAGUUUCGGCGGUUGGGGAUGGACUCGCGGCUUAUCAGCUUGUUGGUGGGGUAGUGGCUUACCAAGGCUUUGACGGGUAGCCGGCCUGAGAGGGUGACCGGCGACAUUGGGACUGAGAUACGGCCCAGACUCCUACGGGAGGCAGCAGUGGGGAAUAUUGCACAAUGGGCGGAAGCCUGAGGCAGCAACGCCGCGUGCGGGAUGACGGCCUUCGGGUUGUAAACCGCUUUCGCCUGUGACGAAGCGUGAGUGACGGUAAUGGGUAAAGAAGCACCGGCUAACUACGUG